CGAUGGCGGGGAGACCAACAGGGAUUACCUCAGUAACGGCGAGUGAAGCGGUAACAGCUCAAAUUUGAAAUCUGGCCUCACGGUCCGAGUUGUAAUUUGUAGAGGAUGCUUCGAGCAUGGUCUGGCCUAAGUUCCUUGGAACAGGACGUCAUAGAGGGUGAGAAUCCCGUAUGCGGCCAGGUGCCUACGCUCAUGUGAAGCUCCUUCGACGAGUCGAGUUGUUUGGGAAUGCAGCUCAAAAUGGGUGGUAAAUUUCAUCUAAAGCUAAAUAUUGGCCAGAGACCGAUAGCGCACAAGUAGGAGUUAAACAGUACGUGAAAUUGUUGAAAGGGAAGCGCUUGCAACCAGACUUGCGCGCGGCCGAUCAUCCGGUGUUCUCACCGGUGCACUCGGCCGUGCUCAGGCCAGCAUCGGUUUUGGCGGCUGGAUAAAGGCCCUAGGAAUGUGGCUCCUCUCGGGGAGUGUUAUAGCCUAGGGUGCAAUGCAGCCUGCUGGGACCGAGGACCGCGCUUCGGCUAGGAUGCUGGCGUAAUGGUUGUAAGCGGCCCGUCUUGAAACACGGACCAAGGAGUCUAACAUCUAUGCGAGUGUUUGGGUGUCAAACCCAUACGCGUAAUGAAAGUGAACGGAGGUGAGAACCCUUAAGGGUGCAUCAUCGACCGAUCCUGAUGUCUUCGGAAGGAUUUGAGUAAGAGCAUAGCUGUUGGGACCCGAAAGAUGGUGAACUAUGCCUGAAUAGGGUGAAGCCAGAGGAAACUCUGGUGGAGGCUCGCAGCGGUUCUGACGUGCAAAUCGAUCGUCAAAUUUGGGUAUAGGG
RNAcentral lists this ribosomal RNA (817 nucleotides) under Pseudogymnoascus sp. RNAcentral describes it as "partial large subunit ribosomal RNA". It matches the Rfam family "Eukaryotic large subunit ribosomal RNA", at positions 51 to 922 of the family's 3401-position model. Lineage: Eukaryota; Fungi; Ascomycota; Leotiomycetes; Thelebolales; Thelebolaceae. The record is from RNAcentral.